GGUUAAGCGACUAAGCGUACACGGUGGAUGCCCUGGCAGUCAGAGGCGAUGAAGGACGUGCUAAUCUGCGAAAAGCGUCGGUAAGGUGAUAUGAACCGUUAUAACCGGCGAUGUCCGAAUGGGGAAACCCAGUGCAAUUCGUUGCACUAUCGUUAACUGAAUACAUAGGUUAACGAGGCGAACCGGGGGAACUGAAACAUCUAAGUACCCCGAGGAAAAGAAAUCAACCGAGAUUCCCCCAGUAGCGGCGAGCGAACGGGGAGCAGCCCAGAGUCUGAAUCAGCUUGUGUGUUAGUGGAACGGUCUGGAAAGUCCGACGGUACAGGGUGAUAGUCCCGUACACCAAAAUGCACAGGUUGUGAACUCGAAGAGUAGGGCGGGACACGUGGUAUCCUGUCUGAAUAUGGGGGGACCAUCCUCCAAGGCUAAAUACUCCUGACUGACCGAUAGUGAACCAGUACCGUGAGGGAAAGGCGAAAAGAACCCCGGCGAGGGGAGUGAAAAAGAACCUGAAACCGUGUACGUACAAGCAGUGGGAGCACCUUCGGGUGUGACUGCGUACCUUUUGUAUAAUGGGUCAGCGACUUAUAUUCUGUAGCAAGGUUAACCGUAUAGGGGAGCCGCAGGGAAACCGAGUCUUAACUGGGCGUUAAGUUGCAGGGUAUAGACCCGAAACCCGGUGAUCUAGCCAUGGGCAGGUUGAAGGUUGGGUAACACUAACUGGAGGACCGAACCGACUAAUGUUGAAAAAUUAGCGGAUGACUUGUGGCUGGGGGUGAAAGGCCAAUCAAACCGGGAGAUAGCUGGUUCUCCCCGAAAGCUAUUUAGGUAGCGCCUCGUGAAUUCAUCUUCGGGGGUAGAGCACUGUUUCGGCUAGGGGGUCAUCCCGACUUACCAACCCGAUGCAAACUACGAAUACCGAAGAAUGUUAUCACGGGAGACACACGGCGGGUGCUAACGUCCGUCGUGAAGAGGGAAACAACCCAGACCGCCAGCUAAGGUCCCAAAGUCAUGGUUAAGUGGGAAACGAUGUGGGAAGGCACAGACAGCCAGGAUGUUGGCUUAGAAGCAGCCAUCAUUUAAAGAAAGCGUAAUAGCUCACUGGUCGAGUCGGCCUGCGCGGAAGAUGUAACGGGGCUAAACCAUGCACCGAAGCUGCGGCAGCGACACUAUGUGUUGUUGGGUAGGGGAGCGUUCUGUAAGCCUGCGAAGGUGUGCUGUGAGGCAUGCUGGAGGUAUCAGAAGUGCGAAUGCUGACAUAAGUAACGAUAAAGCGGGUGAAAAGCCCGCUCGCCGGAAGACCAAGGGUUCCUGUCCAACGUUAAUCGGGGCAGGGUGAGUCGACCCCUAAGGCGAGGCCGAAAGGCGUAGUCGAUGGGAAACAGGUUAAUAUUCCUGUACUUGGUGUUACUGCGAAGGGGGGACGGAGAAGGCUAUGUUAGCCGGGCGACGGUUGUCCCGGUUUAAGCAUGUAGGCUGGUU
RNAcentral lists this ribosomal RNA (1482 nucleotides) under Klebsiella pneumoniae. RNAcentral describes it as "partial 23S ribosomal RNA". It matches the Rfam family "Bacterial large subunit ribosomal RNA", at positions 1 to 1530 of the family's 2925-position model. The record is from RNAcentral. Lineage: Bacteria; Pseudomonadati; Pseudomonadota; Gammaproteobacteria; Enterobacterales; Enterobacteriaceae.